CGGAGGGUGCGAGCGUUGUCCGGAAUCACUGGGCGUAAAGGGCGCGUAGGCGGCCUGGUAAUAGGGGGUGAAAUCCUGCGGCUUAACCGCAGGGCUGCCUUCUAAACUGUCAGGCUUGAGCACAGUAGAGGCAGGUGGAAUUCCCGGUGUAGCGGUGGAAUGCGUAGAGAUCGGGAAGAACAUCAGUGGCGAAGGCGGCCUGCUGGGCUGUUGCUGACGCUGAGGCGCGACAGCGUGGGGAGCAAACAGGAUUAGAUACCCUGGUAGUCCACGCCGUAAACGAUGGGCACUAGGCGUCGGGGGGAGCGACCCUCCCGGUGCCGUCGCUAACGCAGUAAGUGCCCCGCCUGGGGAGUACGGCCGCAAGGCUG
RNAcentral lists this ribosomal RNA (371 nucleotides) under uncultured organism. RNAcentral's name for it is "bacterial SSU rRNA". It matches the Rfam family "Bacterial small subunit ribosomal RNA", at positions 526 to 896 of the family's 1533-position model. The record is from RNAcentral.